GUAAUGUCUGCUAUCUAUUGUGACAGCUGAUGGUUCUGUAUUUCCUCAAGGUGUUUGAUUGUUUUCAAGUCAUUGUUAUGAGGAAGAAUAUGUUUGCAGAAAAACCUUGGCACCUCGUCUGAGUUCUCACAUUUCCCUCUCUGAACUCCACCCCUCUGAUGAAGAACCAAACAGGAAUGGGAGCAGCUGCUCUGUACAGAAGAGGGCUACAGAACAGUCUGUGAGAUGGUUGGUAUCACCAUUUGCUGUAUUGAAGGCACAAGAGAGUCCAUUAAACUCAGUGAAAAGAAACUGGUAACUUCAUUGAGUCACUGGAUCCACUUUGCAUAAUGGAAUAAAAUUGAAAGAAAUGCAGCGCAUCAGCAUCAGGAACAAUAAACACAAAUCAGGUAAGUUCA
This 398-nucleotide long non-coding RNA is filed under the name Numida meleagris (helmeted guineafowl). RNAcentral's name for it is "lncRNA (ENSNMEG00000013495.1)". The record is from RNAcentral. Lineage: Eukaryota; Metazoa; Chordata; Aves; Galliformes; Numididae.